RNAcentral lists this ribosomal RNA (692 nucleotides) under uncultured Bacteroides sp. RNAcentral describes it as "bacterial SSU rRNA". It matches the Rfam family "Bacterial small subunit ribosomal RNA", at positions 34 to 715 of the family's 1533-position model. Lineage: Bacteria; Pseudomonadati; Bacteroidota; Bacteroidia; Bacteroidales; Bacteroidaceae. The record is from RNAcentral.
CGCUAGCUACAGGCUUAACACAUGCAAGUCGAGGGGCAGCAUGAAGUUUGCUUGCAAACUUUGAUGGCGACCGGCGCACGGGUGAGUAACACGUAUCCAACCUGCCGAUAACUCGGGGAUAGCCUUUCGAAAGAAAGAUUAAUACCCGAUGGCAUGGAAAGUCCGCAUGGUCUUUCCAUUAAAGAACUUCGGUUAUCGAUGGGGAUGCGUUCCAUUAGAUAGUAGGCGGGGUAACGGCCCACCUAGUCAACGAUGGAUAGGGGUUCUGAGAGGAAGGUCCCCCACAUUGGAACUGAGACACGGUCCAAACUCCUACGGGAGGCAGCAGUGAGGAAUAUUGGUCAAUGGACGAGAGUCUGAACCAGCCAAGUAGCGUGAAGGAUGACUGCCCUAUGGGUUGUAAACUUCUUUUAUACGGGAAUAAAGUGUUCCACGUGUGGAAUUUUGUAUGUACCGUAUGAAUAAGGAUCGGCUAACUCCGUGCCAGCAGCCGCGGUAAUACGGAGGAUCCGAGCGUUAUCCGGAUUUAUUGGGUUUAAAGGGAGCGUAGGUGGAAGAUUAAGUCAGCCUGUGAAAGUUUGCGGCUCAACCGUAAAAUUGCAGUUGAUACUGGUUUUCUUGAGUGCAGUAGAGGUGGGCGGAGUUCGUGGUGUAGCGGUGAAAUGCUUAGAUAUCACGAAAAGGUCCGAUUG